Molecule: ribosomal RNA, 265 nt
Filed under: uncultured bacterium
Lineage: Bacteria
Description: partial 16S ribosomal RNA
Rfam family: Bacterial small subunit ribosomal RNA
Source: RNAcentral
UGGCGACCGGCGCGCGGGUGAGUAACACGUAUCCAACCUGCCGAUGACUCGGGGAUAGCCUUUCGAAAGAAAGAUUAAUACCCGAUGGCAUAGUUCUUCCGCAUGGUGGAACUAUUAAAGAAUUUCGGUCAUCGAUGGGGAUGCGUUCCAUUAGGUUGUUGGCGGGGUAACAGCCCACCAAGCCUUCGAUGGAUAGGGGUUCUGAGAGGAAGGUCCCCCACAUUGGAACUGAGACACGGCCCAGACUCCUACGGGAGGCAGCAUG